GACAGAGGGUGCAAACGUUGUUCGGAAUUACUGGGCGUAAAGGGCUCGUAGGUGGCCAACUAAGUCAGACGUGAAAUCCCCAGGCUCAACUUGGGAACUGCGUCUGAUACUGGAUGGCUUGAAUUCGGGAGAGGGAUGCAGAAUUCCAGGUGUAGCGGUGAAAUGCGUAGAUAUCUGGAGGAAUACCGGUGGCGAAGGCGGCAUCCUGGACCGAGAUUGACACUGAUGAGCGAAAGCUAGGGGAGCAAACGGG
This 253-nucleotide ribosomal RNA is filed under the name uncultured bacterium. RNAcentral's name for it is "partial 16S ribosomal RNA". It matches the Rfam family "Bacterial small subunit ribosomal RNA", at positions 524 to 776 of the family's 1533-position model. The record is from RNAcentral.